Molecule: long non-coding RNA, 461 nt
Organism: Spodoptera litura
Lineage: Eukaryota; Metazoa; Arthropoda; Insecta; Lepidoptera; Noctuidae
Source: RefSeq, a predicted model, not a curated record
GUGUAUGUCAUAUUGUUUAGUAGGUAAUCUAUUGAAUUAUUGCUUAAUGUUGUUUUCUGAAUUUAUUCUGUUAUUUAUAUGCAUUUUUAAGAAAAACUCAACGCGCUUUUGGUUUUAAUAAUAGUCCGAUAUAAAGUUACGAAUAAGAUCAUGGACAAGUACACUGUACCCAACAUUCCUACUUCUCAACAAGUAUUAGAAGAUAUAUUUGACAAUGAAGUCGUUCAGGUGAAAGACCAUCCCAUUAAAUUAGUGGAAGGAAAUGAAAGUUUACACAAUGCAUAUUGUAGUUAUAAAAAUUUUAAGCAGCUUCAAGAAGAUGUAAUGAAACAAGACGGACUAAAUUCAAAGUUAGAUGAAUUAAAUCAAAAAUUAGUAGACAACAUAACUAGUUUGAGAAAACAAAUGUAAUGUACUAACUUUGUAUUUACAUGGGCUUAGUAUACCCCUUUAUCAAAAUA